This is a non-coding RNA of Coturnix japonica (Japanese quail), 490 nucleotides long. The record is from RefSeq and is a predicted model, not a curated record. Lineage: Eukaryota; Metazoa; Chordata; Aves; Galliformes; Phasianidae.
UAUUUGAGGCCACUAAGAGAUAAAUACCUGCAAGAAAACUACUAUCUGAAACUUCCAUCAGAGAACAUUUUCAGGAGCACUCUCAGGGUGUCAUCUUCACAGAUUGUUUUGACACAAUGGCCUAUGCAGAAAAGACUCAUUUGAGAGAGCCAAGGAAGAAUAAAAGUUACAAGCUUUCCAUCUCAGUCUUUCACAGGCACCUAUAUGAAAAUUUUAGAGAAUCCCGACAAGUGCAUCACAAGGAGAGUAUAUCACAGAGAUCUUAUGCGAUAUUGGCUACAAAACAUUUGGAGGAUUCACACUGAAGGGAUGAAAGUGGGAACUCGAAACAUCACAUGAUGGCGUUUGACUACUGCAGCAGAAUUGUACGGAAGGGUGUAACAAAUAGAUGGUGUGGGAAAAUUUUGACCUUCAACUGGACUACAGUGUGUAAACUUUGUCUUAAAUAUGGAUAUGAAAACUGUACUCUGCAAUAAAAAAAAAAAAAAAA